CCUACGGGGGACAGCAGUGAGGAAUAUUGGUCAAUGGACGAGAGUCUGAACCAGCCAAGUAGCGUGAAGGAUGACUGCCCUAUGGGUUGUAAACUUCUUUUAUAAAGGAAUAAAACGAGGUACGUGUGCCUUUUUGCAUGUACCUUAUGAAUAAGGAUCGGCUAACUCCGUGCCAGCAGCCGCGGUAAUACGGAGGAUCCGAGCGUUAUCCGGAUUUAUUGGGUUUAAAGGGAGCGUAGAUGGGUUGUUAAGUCAGUUGUGAAAGUUUGCGGCUCAACCGUAAAAUUGCAAUUGAUACUGGCAGUCUUGAGUACAGUUGAGGUAGGCGGAAUUCGUGGUGUAGCGGUGAAAUGCUUAGAUAUCACGAAGAACCCCGAUUGCGAAGGCAGCUUGCUAAACUGUAACUGACAUUGAUGCUCGAAAGUGUGGGUAUCAAACAGGAUUAGAUACCCCAGUAGUC
Molecule: ribosomal RNA, 460 nt
Filed under: uncultured bacterium
Lineage: Bacteria
Description: partial 16S ribosomal RNA
Rfam family: Bacterial small subunit ribosomal RNA
Source: RNAcentral